UGACAGGUGGUGCAUGGUUGUCGUCAGCUCGUGUCGUGAGAUGUUGGUUAAGUCCCGCAACGAGCCGCAACCCUCGACCUUAGUUGCCAGCAUUCAGUUGGGCACUCUAAGGUGACUGCCGGCUAAAAGUCGGAGGAAGGUGGGGAUGACGUCAAAUCAUCAUGCCCCUUAUGACCUGGGCUACACACGUGCUACAAUGGGCGGUACAAAGGGUCGCGAACCCGCGAGGGGGAGCCAAUCCCAAAAAGCCGCUCUCAGUUCGGAUUGCAGGCUGCAACUCGCCUGCAUGAAGCCGGAAUCGCUAGUAAUCGCGGAUCAGCAUGCCGCGGUGAAUACGUUCCCGGGCCUU
RNAcentral lists this ribosomal RNA (349 nucleotides) under uncultured Anoxybacillus sp. RNAcentral describes it as "bacterial SSU rRNA". It matches the Rfam family "Bacterial small subunit ribosomal RNA", at positions 1032 to 1382 of the family's 1533-position model. Lineage: Bacteria; Bacillati; Bacillota; Bacilli; Caryophanales; Anoxybacillaceae. The record is from RNAcentral.